This 6736-nucleotide long non-coding RNA is filed under the name Xyrichtys novacula (pearly razorfish). Lineage: Eukaryota; Metazoa; Chordata; Actinopteri; Labriformes; Labridae. The record is from RNAcentral.
UCAAUCAAUCAAUCAAUCAAUCAAAUUUUAUUUAUAUAGCGCCAAUUCACAACAGUCGUCAUCUCAAGACGCUUUCCAAAGAACAAGAGCAGGUCGAGACCACGCUCAUUGUUUGAUGAUCAAGAACCAACCUAAGAUGGGUUUUGGCCCAUCUCAACUAACAUGAGUAGCAGUGGCAAGGAAAAACUUCCUUUUAACAGGCAGAAACCUUGGGCAGGACCAGACUCAUGCUAGACAGCCACCAUGCCGCUGCUGGGUUGGGGAGGAAUGUAGUGAGAAGAGGGGAGAGGGGGAGAGGACAGGGGGAGGGAGAGAGACAGCAAGAUAGGGGAAAGGCUAGAGAGAAUUAGUACGGAGAGGGAGGGGGAGGGAGAGAGAGUAGGGAACGAGGGUGAGAGAGAGACAGGAGGCAGCAGGAACAACAGCAACAACGACAACAGCUCAUGUAAUGGUGAAACAAAAAGACGUUCAGUUUACAGGUUUAGGAUAUGAGAAAUAAUGGACAAUGUUGAAUUAAUUGAGUGUGAUUACAGUUAGCAGGCUUAAUCGUAGUCAGUUCUAUUUUGUAUGUCAAUAAUGACAGUGAGGCUGAUGUUCAUGUCUGCAGUAACAGUAACAGUCCAGUGGAAUCAGAGAGAAGAAGGAGCUCAGGGCCGGGGGGGGGGGGGGGUCUCUGCAGCAACGGUCCAGAGAAGCCAAAGAGCCAAAGAGAUGGAGGAGCUCAGGGCCCAGGAUGGAUGCAGCUGGGGUCAGGCAGUUCCGCAGCAGACCGUUUGCAGCAUUAGUCCAGUGGCAGCUAAAAGACUCAGAGACACUCAGAGAGACAGAAAGCUGGUCAGUGACUUAUAUGGGACAUAAAGAUCUAAAGAGGAGAUAGAGACAGAUUCUAGCUCAGUGUGCCAGAUAGCCCCGGCAGUCUAGGCCUAUAGCAGCAUAACUAAGAGCUGGUUCAAAUCAGCCCUGACUAUAGGCUUUAUCAAAGAGGAACGUUUUAAGUCUACUCUUGAAAGUUGAGAGUGUGUCUGCCCCCCGAACCUCGAGCGGUAAAUGAUUCCAGAGGAGAGGUGCCUGGUAGCUGAAAGCUCUUCCUCCAACACUACUUUUAGAGACAUUUGGUACAACGAGCAGACCUGCAGACUGUGAGCGUAACGGUCUAGAUGGAAAGUACGGUAUAACUAGCUCGUCGAGAUAUGAUGGCGCCUGGCCAUUAAGCGCUUUAUAUGUCACAAGGAGGAUUUUAAACUCUGAAUAUCGGAAAUUUCUCAACCAUUCCCGUUAAAAAACAAUUUAAAAGCCGAUGUUUGUUAUAAAUAAUGCAGCCAUCUGAAAAAUACCCCAUCAGAAAGUUCAGCCAUGUGCCUUUUCACAGCAGGACACAGAAAAUCCACCACAGUUUAAUAAAUAGCCCAUUGUAACCUUGAGCAACUCUGCGAUAAAAAUUGUAGACGUAACAUAAUAAAAGGUAUUCUGGUCUCAUUUGAGAGCCCCUGCUCAGACUUCCAGAGACGGUGUAUAUUUAAAUUAAAAUUUGCUGGUGUGGGAGAUUGGGACACAAUGCAUAUUCAGAUGCUAAUUCUCUGCAUUUGUCUGUGAAGCAGUGGCCCAUUUAAUUUGACUUUGUGUAGGAUUGUCCUGAGUGCCAGCUCGGGCUGAGGGGACGGAAAUUAAAUGUUUAUGAGAUGAUGUGAGAGAAAUACAAAGGAGGAGACAAUGACUGAAAACUCAACAUUUAUUUUUCAGUCAGUAGGAGACUUGACUGCAGAGUAUUUGUGGCCUUAUUCUUUUUUUUUUCCUGGGUCCUUCUGACUCAGAUUACAGACGAGUUUAGGUCAGAGUUAGGGUGGCUUUCAUGCAGCGCUGGAAAGACCACCUUACCUUUUUUUUAAAAUUAUUUUUAAUCCAAGUAAAAAUAAGUAAAAAUGUUUGCACCUAAAUCCAGCGAGGUGCACAAAUUUGUUAUACAGUCAACAUCAAAGUUAAGUUUUCAACUGUGGUGUUGUAAAGAUAGGUCAUCUUUGUACAUGAUAUUCCAGGGUUUGGGUUAAACAAACCCUGGAAUCUGGUCACCCAGACGCCGCCAAGAUAUUGACACAUAAAGCAAAGGCAGAAAGUAAAAGGCAUAAAAAAGCAAAGGCGUAAAAUGCAGUGUAUCGUGGGCCAGUAUCAAAGCUGAUCCACUUUGCUCGAAAACAAACCAAGACCCUUGUUUUCAAGAGUUCAUAUGAGCUUUCAGACAACUUCAAAUGUACCCGGGGAAAAGGACCGGGCUUCGUCAGAGUAUGAAGUUUCAUACGGUGUUACUGACAUCUGUAACUGUGCACGAAGCCAGAACUAGAUUCUGUUCAGUUUCUAAAGGAUUCCUAGUUUAAUAAGGCUGGGACCAACUGGUUUGAUCUUUAGCAAAAUGUUUUAGUUUUAUUGCUAAAAAGGCCAAAAAGAAAAUAUUCAAAAAAGUCAAUUUAGGCCCAGGACCUCAGAACAGUGAGAGAAACAGGAUAAUAUUUAUGUACGUCAAAAAUAUUAUCAAACUCAAUCAAAUGUGGUAUAUUUGAACAGUUCUUUGCAGUCCUUGAAACCACAUGGAUGUUUUUAAUCUUGCUUUUAUACCUUACAUGUCACAUUUUGAACACUAGUGCAUUUUAUUUUAACAAAAAAAAAAAAAGGAAAAAUGUUUUUCUUCUCUUUUCUAUUGUACCCAGGUAACCUGCAAUUCAACCCAGAUAUAAAUAUUUCACCAUCAAACAUGCAUUACUCACACUGAGAGAUGUCAAAUGGUCUUUUCCAGUCUGUCAAACUUCAUGGAAUAAUUACAUUUUUAUAUAAAAGCAGGUUGAUGCCCUGUCUAAAACAGUCCCAGUUCAUGUGUAAGAUGUAGUGAUGUCGCUCAGGGAUGAGGCUUUCAAAUGGAGACCAACAACCAGGAGAAUGUAGCACAGUGAACAAUGAGAAAAAGGGAAAGUGAAGGUUACUCUGUCCUCUGUAUUCUUAGGUGAAAACCUUAAAGAACAAUCUUAAACACCGGUCCGAUUUGACCUCUGAGCCAGCUUGAGGACCCUCCUCUUUGUCUGUUGGAGAGGACUGAACAUGCGGGUUAGACUGAGCUUAAGGCUUUUCACCAAGAGUAAGAACAUUUGCAGUUUUAAAAACGUAUAUUUAUCUUUAUAAAUGAAAAGAAAUACUCUCCAAACAUGGACAAUUGGCCUGUUGGCAUUCGGGCAUGCCAUUUGCUGAAUAUUUUGAAAUCCUAACAUUUGCUUUAGCAAUAAAAAACACACUUUUGUUGGACCAUGAAAAUGUUUCAAUUUCUAAAUAAAUGAAAUGUCGAGAGUCUAUAAAAUGAAAGAAAAAGAGAAUCAGAGCAGCUUUUGAAUACCAGUGUUCAAACAAAUCAAGAAUAAUGAAACAUAUUUGAAAAGAAAUAGACACUGAAGGAUCACCUGAAUAUUCUCGUAUGGUUAUAACUGAGUAUUUCUCUCUGAGCAGCAGCUCCUCGUGCAACGUUAACUCCAAACUUCAUCCUCCACAUGGUUUAGACACUGUAAUUAUAUCUGUAUGGAAACUGCACAUUAAGCACGUAGAAUCAUGUGUAGCCCUUGUUUGUGUGCUGUUCUGGGAACAUUCGCGCACCUGUGUGUGUCGUCCUGCACCGUGGUGGUGCUCGCUGAUAAAUCGGCCUCCAGAUGUGUGUGAAGUCUAUCUCUGGCAGUGAGGAAUAUUGGCUCUCCCUGAUACUUCAUCAUGGAAAGGCAGCUCUGACAGAAACCCUGACACAGAAACCUCUCGGAGAAGGGAAGUGGGGACAGCUUGGGCAUAAUUAGAAUUAAUGCCGAGAUGUGGAAUAAGGAAAUGAGCCAUCACAAUACAGAUCAGCUCUUCAUUUCAAUUUUAUGCUUGACUCGUUGAAUUUCAUGGGUAAUAAUGGAUAGGCAAGGUUGCCGAUCACUUUAGCUUGUGAUGACAGAUAUAUAUGCAGUGUUUCUUUAUGCUCCUGUAGGCAGAAGUAUGAGCGGGGGAUGAUAUAGGGAGGAAUAAUGACAAUAGACAUGGGCGUAGAACCAGGAGAGAGAGAGCUAUUUCUAUUCUGUUAGAUUCAUUUUUUGUAGGAUAUCGGCCAAAGACUCACCUCUGCUGCAAACAAUUAUCUUUAUGAUCAAAAGAGUCCUGUCCAAAGUGACCGUGACAAACUGCUGUGGAGUUUAUCACAAUCUCCUGUUACAGCCACACGGUAGUCCGUAUGAAUCUUCCACUGUCAGCCUGCGAUGGUCUGUCCACACCUUUAUCGCCAACGGCAGCCAACCAGCAAAUCUCCCCAUCUCCUCUGAUAAAAGCCGGAUCCUUUUAGUAAUGACAUUUGACUACAGCUCAAAAUAGAUCUUACAGAUGGAGCAUUUAAAACCACCUUAUUAAACGGAAUCACAAACUCAUGGCAGGUAUUACGUGAGGAAGUCGUGGUCAGUAAAGUUACAUAUGGGGUGAAGCCUCCAGGGUUGUCCUCAUGCAUACAUGUUAAAGUCAAGAACAUGUUUUGUGUCAUUGAGGGUUUAGAGCCGGCAAAGAUUGCGGGACUGCAAUCAAACGAUCAUAGGUUUGUGCGGUUUUGUAAUCAGGUAAGAGCAGUAAUUGCACGGUUACAGCUGGUGCAAACAGUAACAGAAUUAAAGCUCCUGUGAGGAACUUUGGGUAAAUAUGAAAUUUGGCGCCCCCUAUAGACAAAGCAGUCUUUGAUUAUUGUCUAAAAUUGAAUUGCCUGAAAAAGAAACACACCCUGUAGACUUUUGAUGAUGAAAUAUAAUUUAAUGUCAAUAUUUUUUGAGGGAAAUAGUAAGCACAGCUGCACUGCAACCCUACCUCCUUACUCUACGAUUAGGAAAAGAAAAGAAAGAAAAAUCAAAGAAAGAAAGAAAGAAAGAAAGAUAAAAAGGAAGAAAAAAGGAAAAAAGGGAGAGAGAGAAAGAAAGAAAAAAUAAAAGAAAGAAAAGGAGAGAAAAAAGAGAAAAAAGAAUGACAAAAAUAAGAAAAAAAGGGAAAAAAGUGAAAGAAAGAGAAGACAGAAUUAAAGAAAGAAAGAGAAAAAGAGAGAAAGACAUAAAAAAGAAAGAACAAAACAGAAAGAAAGAAAAAGAAAAAAGACAAAGAAAGAAAGAAAGAAUAAAAGAAAGAAAGAAAAAAACAGAAAGAAAGUAAAGAGAAAAAAGAAAGAAAGAAAGAAAGAAAGAGAGAAAUAGAAAAAAGAAAGAACUUUAUUGAUCUCUAGAGGGAAAUUCAAUCUUCCACAUUACAAUACAAGAAUCAUCAGUCUUGUCAUUGACGGUCCAGUUUGCCUCAGAGUCAUUAAAAAAUGCAGCUUCUUUGAUUUCAGUGCAUUUCAUGAAGUAAAAAAAAACGUAUUUCUGUGGCUUUAAGUAACAAUGCAGAACAAAAAAAUAUAUCAAAAUAAUAGACACCACAGAAAAAUGUGUCAAAGGCCAGAGUAAUUCCAUGAAUAGACAAAAAAACAUAAGGAUGUGAAUGGUCAGAGUUAGAGUGGGUGCUGGUGGUUAAAGGUUACACCUACUGUGAGUGUGGGCGGGAGUGGGUGGCAAUGGUCAGAAAUCCAACAAAAGCUGCAUUUACAGUUUUACUUUAAUAAGGGGGCAAAGGAUCUAACUGAGGUCAGGAACAAUUGGAGCCCUUGUGGCAAUUUCAGUUUAAACCAGUCAUUAAACAUCCAAACUACCUUCACUUUAACUUGGAGUUAAUAACACAGACUCUAGAUCUAAAACUAAGGCUCAGAAAUACUUUAUCUGGGGCAGAUGGGAACGGUAGUGAAGCCAGGAAGGCCAACUCCAGUGUUUACCGAUACCUGCUGUAAUUACAUGUGGAAAUUAAGCCCUCUCUGAAAAGUCCAACUUUAAUACCAACAAGAUCAUCGUGCACGUAAAGUGGUGAUGUUUUUUCCCACAUUUAGCAGGACCCUGGUGACACGGGGGAAGAAAAAGGUAUGUCAAGAGGGAGCUACAGAGGAGAACUCCCGUUCAGUCUCCUUCACCCCACAUCAUUAAGAGUCUUCCUACCUGAGUGAAAGGAAAUUCUUUAAAACACAAAAGGAGUCAGCCUCAUUUCUCUGAGAUUUCCCUGAAGGUAAUGAGGCUCAGUAAUUCUACAACCACACAGCAGCUUGAUCAACCGUAAGAGAGGAGAGACAGCACCGUGUCUAUCGCCUCUGUGAGUGUUUAUUGAACCUCUUGUUAGUGCACUUGCUGUACUUUGUUUGGACGUAAACAAAUUAGCUUUGUUGUGAGACUACACUCAUAGUUGUUUAUAUGCCACCAAGCCAGCUCUCACUGUGUAUGUACGGGGUUAUGUUGCUUCAGAAGCAAAACCUAAAAGGCGGGAGUCACGGGUUGAAAAAACUAACAAAAGGCUGGUGUCCCAAAAGAGUCAAACUAAAAAAAAAGGGGGCCCUUAAAGGUGGCUGUGGGAAUAAUAAUCCCUACAGGCACCCGCUGAUUCUAUCAAAAUGAUAGAGGAACAAAAGGACUGGACUCAAAACAAAGGAAAAGUGGGACUCGCUAGACUGAGUGGACACGAAAUUACUGGGAACAGACGCUGGCCAAAAGAAGAAAACUUGUUCCAACAAACACUCAUCUCUGGUUUUUCCCUCAAACAGCCACCACAGAAAGCCCGCUGACAUUGUUGACUCUCUGGAGACAAAAACAAACUGAACAGGGACACCCCCUCUACCCCUCCUCUGAAG